GUAGUAGUACUUACAUGUCUUACUCAAAUAAAUAAUUACCUCAAUACAGUAUAAAUUAAAAGUUAACGGUUUGUUUUAUAUUUUUUUAUACAUGUUUGUACUUACUAUGGAUAUUAUAAAAUCAAAUAAAGGAUGUGAUAAGUUAUGCUACAACGGCUUAAGGCUUUAUAUACCUAUGUUGUAAAGCAUAUUGGUAAAUCCAAGAUAACUUGUAGGUGUUGGAAGAAGUCCGCAAUGAAAUGUACAGGAGAAUUUUACACCAAUCUUCAAAGAGAAGACCCUGUAUCAAAAUCCAAUCAUAACCAUUUUGGAGAUAAUGGCAAGGUAAAUAUGGAAAAAGAUUUAUGUGUUAUUAAAGAGCAGACAAAAGCUGGUUUAUCUAAAUCGCUUGAAGUUUAUGCUGAAAUAAUUUCUAAGUUGGACGAUGACAUUAGAGCAAAGAUGCUGGUGGAAGACAUUAUACAAUGUUAAAAGAACAUUGUGAAAUCAACAUUCUAAAUUAAAUCCAAUUGAACCAACUAGUCUGGAUAAUUUGGUCAUUAAUGAUGAGUGGUGCACAACAGGUCAUUUUGAGUAUGACCAUUUUUUAAUUUUGACAAUGGUAUUGAUUCUGAACAAAAAAUUUUGAUUUUUGGCACUGUAUCAAAAUCCAGUACUUGGUAUUCAGAUGGUAAUUUCUCACUAGCAUCAAAAUUAUUUUUGCAAUUGUAUGUUAUAAGUGUAGAGGUAGGUAGAUGGUAUAUUUAUAACUGCAAUAGUCUAUUACAAAGGAAAACAUCAGAAACCUAUAAAUUAGCACUUAGAACAUUAGUUGAAAAGUGUGCAGAGGAAAAUCUUAAUCUUGAUCCAAAGUAUAUCUAUCUUGAUUUUGAAAAGAUUGUAAUUAAAGCUGUUCAUAAAAUAUUUAACCGAGUAGUUAUUAUCCCUGGGUGCUUCUAUCAUUUGUCGCAGUCUACUCACAGAAAAGUUCAAGCCUUAGGUCUAGAACAAUUAUACCGUGAAGACAAUACCUUUAAUAAAUUCUAAGUCUAACCCAACUGUUUUAAAUAUUUUGUUGUAAAUUGUAAAUCAAAUAAAAUUAUUUUUAAGGA
Aphis gossypii (cotton aphid) is the source of this 1091-nucleotide long non-coding RNA. RefSeq lists it as uncharacterized. Lineage: Eukaryota; Metazoa; Arthropoda; Insecta; Hemiptera; Aphididae. The transcript is spliced from 2 exons. The record is from RefSeq and is a predicted model, not a curated record.